This 465-nucleotide ribosomal RNA is filed under the name uncultured bacterium. RNAcentral describes it as "partial 16S ribosomal RNA". It matches the Rfam family "Bacterial small subunit ribosomal RNA", at positions 338 to 795 of the family's 1533-position model. The record is from RNAcentral.
CCUACGGGAGGCAGCAGUAGGGAAUCUUCCACAAUGGACGAAAGCCUGAUGGAGCAACGCCGCGUGGGUGAAGAAGGUCUUCGGAUCGUAAAACCCGGUUGGUAGAGAAGAAAAAGGGAGAGAGUAACGGAACACGUCUAGACGGUAUCGAACCAGAAAGCCACGGCUAACUACGAGCCAGCAGCCGCGGUAAUACGUAGGUGGCAAGCGUUAUCCGGAUUUAUUGGGCGUAAAGGGAGCGCAGGCGGUCUGUUAAGUCUGAUGUGAAAGCCCUCGGCUGACCCGGAGUGGUGCAUUGGAAACUGGGAGCCUUGAGUGCAGCAGAGGAGAGUGGAACUCCAUGUGUAGCGGUGAAAUGCGUAGAUAUAUGGAAGAACACCAGUGGCGAACGCGGCUCUCUGGUCUGUAACUGACGCUGAGGUUCGAAAGCGUGGGUAGCAAACAGGAUUAGAUACCCCUGUAGUC